AACGGACGCUGGCGGCAUGCCUAACAUAUGCAAGUCGAACGAGAUCUUCGUGUCUAGUGGCGCACGGGUGCGUAACGCGUGGGAAUCUGCCCUUUGGUUCGGAAUAACAGUUGGAAACGACUGCUAAUACCGGAUGAUGACGAAAGUCCAAAGAUUUAUCGCCAGAGGAUGAGCCCGCGGAGGAUUAGCUAGUUGGUGUGGUAAAGGCGCACCAAGGCGACGAUCCUUAGCUGGUCUGAGAGGAUGAUCAGCCACACUGGGACUGAGACACGGCCCAGACUCCUACGGGAGGCAGCAGUGAGGAAUAUUGGACAAUGGGCGAAAGCCUGAUCCAGCAAUGCCGCGUGAGUGAUGAAGGCCUUAGGGUUGUAAAGCUCUUUUACCCGGGAUGAUAAUGACAGUACCGGGAGAAUAAGCUCCGGCUACCUCCGUGCCAGCCGCCGCGGUAA
Molecule: ribosomal RNA, 449 nt
Filed under: uncultured bacterium
Lineage: Bacteria
Description: partial 16S ribosomal RNA
Rfam family: Bacterial small subunit ribosomal RNA
Source: RNAcentral